Molecule: ribosomal RNA, 242 nt
Filed under: uncultured bacterium
Lineage: Bacteria
Description: partial 16S ribosomal RNA
Rfam family: Bacterial small subunit ribosomal RNA
Source: RNAcentral
ACGGACCUUUCGGGGUGAGUGGCGGACGGGUGAGUAACGCGUAGGUAUCUAUCCAUGGGUGGGGGAUAACACUGGGAAACUGGUGCUAAUACCGCAUGACACCUGAGGGUCAAAGGCGCAAGUCGCCUGUGGAGGAGCCUGCGUUCGAUUAGCUAGUUGGUGGGGUAAAGGCCUACCAAGGCGAUGAUCGAUAGCUGGUUUGAGAGGAUGAUCAGCCACACUGGGACUGAGACACGGCCCAG